RNAcentral lists this transfer RNA (72 nucleotides) under Oreaster reticulatus. RNAcentral describes it as "tRNA-Leu". It matches the Rfam family "tRNA". From Rfam's summary of the family: Transfer RNA (tRNA) molecules are approximately 80 nucleotides in length. Their secondary structure includes four short double-helical elements and three loops (D, anti-codon, and T loops). The record is from RNAcentral. Lineage: Eukaryota; Metazoa; Echinodermata; Asteroidea; Valvatida; Oreasteridae.
GUUGGGGUAGCAAAGGGGUUACUGCUUUAGAUUUAGGAUCUAGUAUCGGAGGUUCGAAUCCUCCCUCUAACU